Chlorocebus sabaeus (green monkey) is the source of this 102-nucleotide small nuclear RNA. Lineage: Eukaryota; Metazoa; Chordata; Mammalia; Primates; Cercopithecidae. The record is from Ensembl.
AUUCUCAUUUAAACAGCAUAUAUACUAAAAUUGAAAGGAUACAGAGAUUAGCAUGGCCCGUUCAAGGAUGACACACAUAUUUAUGAAGUGUUUCACAUUAAA